CUUCUGUGCACGAAUUUACCAUUUUUUUCGUGUAAAUUUCGUAUAAUCGUCAAUUUUUUUUCAAUCGGUCUGUGUUGUUGUGAAAAUAUGGCACGCAGGUAAUUAAAGUUCGUGUUUUGAAGCCGAAGUUUAACGAUUGUCACCUGUUUGUCAACAAUCGACAAAAAAUCAACAAAAAAGCAUGGAAAUUGAGCACGUGUUUUACAUGUAAAUUCAGAUAAUAGUUUAUUUUAAGGACAUCCAUGCGUAUUGUGAUCACCGGAUUUUUACGAGAUGGGUCACACGGAGGUCACUUUGCAUACGGAAAAUAUGUCGGG
This 317-nucleotide long non-coding RNA is filed under the name Mytilus galloprovincialis (Mediterranean mussel). The record is from RNAcentral. Lineage: Eukaryota; Metazoa; Mollusca; Bivalvia; Mytilida; Mytilidae.